UACGACGAUUGGCGCUUACGUGGAAAUAGCGAGGCCCGCGUUCUUUUCGUCGUUAUUUCCUCGUAAGUUAAUGAGGAACUAGCGACGAUUAUGCUUAAAUCCCUAAAAUCCGAAACCCCAUACCCCAUCUUCCUUAUCUUCUACUUCAUAUAUUCCAAACCUCAAACUCAUCUUCCCUUUAAUCUCAAUUUAUUCUUUCCAUUCCAAACUCCUAACUUUAAAACCACAAUUUUUUAACUUAUAAUCUCAAUCUUUUAUUUCUAAUACAAACUCUCGUACCUUACACAAAGUCAAAUUAAUUCCAUUCCAAACCCCA
RNAcentral lists this long non-coding RNA (316 nucleotides) under Brassica napus (rape). RNAcentral describes it as "long non-coding RNA (BNAP_LNC019008)". Lineage: Eukaryota; Viridiplantae; Streptophyta; Magnoliopsida; Brassicales; Brassicaceae. The record is from RNAcentral.